GGAGCGAACAUGGACCCGGCUGCGCGGGUGGUGCGGGCGCUGUGGCCUGGUGGGUGCGCCUUGGCCUGGAGGCUGGGAGGCCGCCCCCAGCCGCUGCUACCCACGCAGAGCCGGGCUGGCUUCGCGGGGGCGGCGGGCGGCCCGAGCCCCGUGGCUGCAGCUCGUAAGGGGAGCCCGCGGCUGCUGGGAGCUGCGGCGCUGGCCCUGGGGGGAGCCCUGGGGCUGUACCACACGGCGCGGUGGCACCUGCGCGCCCAGGACCUCCACGCAGAGCGCUCAGCCGCGCAGCUCUCCCUGUCCAGCCGCCUGCAGCUGACCCUGUACCAGUACAAGACGUGUCCCUUCUGCAGCAAGGUCCGAGCCUUCCUCGACUUCCAUGCCCUGCCCUACCAGGUGGUGGAGGUGAACCCUGUGCGCAGGGCUGAGAUCAAGUUCUCCUCCUACAGAAAGGUGCCCAUCCUGGUGGCCCAGGAAGGAGAAAGCUCGCAACAACUAAAUGACUCCUCUGUCAUCAUCAGCGCCCUCAAGACCUACCUGGUGUCGGGCCCCUGGAAGAGAUCAUCACCUACUACCCAGCCAUGAAGGCUGUGAACGAGCAGGGCAAGGAGGUGACCGAGUUCGGCAAUAAGUACUGGCUCAUGCUCAACGAGAAGGAGGCCCAGCAAGUGUAUGGUGGGAAGGAGGCCAGGACGGAGGAGAUGAAGUGGCGGCAGUGGGCGGACGACUGGCUGGUGCACCUGAUCUCCCCCAAUGUGUACCGCACGCCCACCGAGGCUCUGGCGUCCUUUGACUACAUUGUCCGCGAGGGCAAGUUCGGAGCCGUGGAGGGUGCCGUGGCCAAGUACAUGGGUGCAGCGGCCAUGUACCUCAUCAGCAAGCGACUCAAGAGCAGGCAAGUGUGUGUGCACAUCCGGGGCCUGCUGUCCCCGAGCCUCCGGUGCCACGAGCAGUGGUGAUCCCAUCACACCCCUCAGGAGACCAGCGGGAGGCCGAGGCCUAGGGCAGGUGGGAAACGCAUUAUGGAUUAUGGGUCCCUUGGCCAAGAUGGGACUUGGACCCAGAGCUCCUGCUCACCUCCCCUGGGGACAGCAGGGCUGGCCUUGAAGCCGGAAGCCUGGGCCCUGACUGGCGCCUCCUCUGUGGCUUUCUCCCUGGCCUGGUCUCUUGCCUUUACCACAGCCUCCCCGUCUGGGACGGAUGCUCCCUGAGGCGUCUGCAGAUGUGAUGCUCUCACCUGGGGUGCCGUCCUGGCUUCCACACCUCCCCCCUCUCCCCAGAGGAGACCCUCUUCCCUGCUGGGCUGGGAGUGGGGGCUCCCCUGAGGGGCUUUUCCCUUCCCCGCCCAGGCACCGCCUCCAGGACAACGUGCGCGAGGACCUCUAUGAGGCUGCUGACAAGUGGGUGGCUGCUGUGGGCAAGGACCGGCCCUUCAUGGGGGGCCAGAAGCCGAAUCUCGCUGAUUUGGCGGUGUAUGGCGUGCUGCGUGUGAUGGAGGGGCUGGAUGCGUUCGAUGACCUGAUGCAGCACACGCACAUCCAGCCCUGGUACCUGCGGGUGGAGAGGGCCAUCACCGAGGCCUCCCCAGCGCACUGAAUGUCCCCGCGCAGAGCAGAGGGAAGGCAGCGGAAGACGCCAGCUGCCAGGGCCUGGGGCCACUGGGCCAGCGCCUGGCGAUACUGGUUGGGGGCAGGAUCAUUCUGCCCCUUGUCCACGCACCCCCACCAGCCCUCUCGCUUCUAACACAGGGCACCUGCUGGGGCUCAGGGAUGUUAGGGACGAGUUCCAGCCCUGCCACUGCCCUGGGGCGACCCCUCCCUGUCCCUGCCUCCCUGCUCUGCCGCCCCUCUUCCUGGACCCUCAGUGGCUGUCCCAUGGCUACAUCCUGUGGGUGGGGGCCCUCGACAGGACAGCAGGACGGUUUGUUUUCAGUGGAAUCCCAUCCCUGGGUUCCCCUGGUUCCCACUCUUCCCAAGCCUCCCGGGACUGGGACAUGUUUGCAAUAAAGGAAAGGUUUGUGGCGCCUGUCAUGGCAGGCAUCUCAUGGAGCUCCGUGUGGCUGAGUGCUGCGUGGGGCUGGCGGUCAAGGGAGGCAUCAGGCUUGGGCUGUGCCAGCCCUUGUGGUAACUAACCGCUGGCCUGGGGCUUCCCAGGUGUCAGGCACGGUACGGCUCCGCAGGCUUUGUGUGGCAUCGUCCCCAGGAUACCACUCAGGGCACACAGCUGGGCCGUGGAGCCCAGCAGCCAGAGUGCAGGUCGGGGCACCCUACCCACGGUGGGGCUCUGCAGUGGGGUCACUCAUCAAGCCUCAGUUUCUUCGUCUGUCCCCGCCUUGUGGGAGAGUUCAGUGAUAGGAGCAGGUGCAGUGCACAGAGCCGGGUCACCUGGUCCAGGGCACCAGGCUAUUCAGACCCCUGCUCUACAGACAGAACCAAGCCCUCUCAGGUGGCGGCCCCGGGCUUCAGCUCCAGGCUGGGCCAGGCUUUAUGGGAGAAGAGGCUCUGCCUUCCAGGGUGAGUGUGGGUUGUGGGUGGGACCCCCUUUCCUGCACAGAGUACCCAGGAUGGGGCUCCCCAGUCCCGACUUAACUGAGGUGGGGUGGCCUGCUAGGGACCCUCCAGAGGCCAGUGAGCCCAACUCCACCCACUGGCCCUUCCGACUGGGGGGACUGGGCAACGUCCCCAUACCCUCUUGAGAAACUUUUUUGUUGUUUUUUUUUAUUUUUUGAGACAGGGUCUCGCUCUGUCACCCAGGCUGGGAUGCAGUGGUGCAAUCAUAGCUCACUGCAACCUCGACCUCCCAGGUUCAAGUGAUCCUCCCACCUCAGCCUCCAAGUAGCUGGAACAGGUGCACACCAACAUGCCCAGCUAAUUUUUUGUUUUUUAUAUUUUGUAGAUCCUGGGUUUUGCUGUGUUACCCAGGCUGGUCUCGCACUCUAGGGCUCAAGGGAACUGCCCGCCUCAGCCUCCCGAAGUGCUGGGAUUACAGGAGUGAGCCCCGACGCCCAGCCAGGAAACUUUUAAAGUUUUAUUUUCUUUAUUAGUAUUUUUAAAACAAAAUAACUCAUGUUCCUGUAAUAGCUACCAUUUGAGUAAGGUAGAAGUGAGCGCUCGAGGCAGGGAGUGUGACGUUUGGAAGCAGGUGGCUGUGCAGUUGGUGACCUCCGUUUUUCCCACGGGGUUGGUCUGCCACCGGCUGUGUUCUCAUCCCCAUCCUGGGCGUCUGCCUGUCGGCGUAUGUCACAUUGGCUUGUUCUCAUGGCGCAUAGUGCCCUGCCGCCUGGAUGCACCACAGUCCUUCAGCCAGCCCCCACUGUGUGCCCUCUGUGGGUGUUAACUCCAGGUACUUGGGCUGCAGGGUAGAGGAGGCAGCCAGGCCUGAGGCUGUGCCCAUCUGUGGCCUUAGGAGUCACAGCAGCCGCUUCUGAGAGGCCAACAGGUAUCAGGGCACCCAGAGCCACCACUGUGUCCAGAACGGCAUUUCCACUUCACUGGCCAGGUCUAAAGUCCUGAGGGGCCUUUGCUCCAGGGACCCAGGGUACCUCCCUCAGCAGGGCAGGAACUAGGCCAGGAAUACCAUGGGGCACUGAAGGAGGAGCCUCCCUCUAUCCCUGUAACCCUCCAUCCCUGUACCUCUCCAUCCCUCCAUCCCUGCACCCCUCCGUCCCUGUGCCCCUCUAUCUCUCCAUCCCUGCACCCCUCCAUCCCUGUACCCCAUCCCUGUACCCCUCCGUCCCCCAUCCCUGCACCCCUCCAUCCCUGUACCCCUCCAUCCUUCCAUCCCUGCACCCUCCAUCCCUGUACCCCUCCAUCCCUCCAUCCCUGUACCCCUCCAUCCUUCCAUCCCUGCACCCUCCAUCCCUGUACCCUUCCAUCCCUCCAUCCCUGCAUCCCUCUGUCCCUGCACCCCUCCAUCCCUCCAUCCCUGCACCCCUCCUUCGUUGUACCCCUCCAUCCUCCAUCUCUGCAUCCCUGCACCCCUCCAUCCUCCAUCCCUGUACCCUUACAUUCUCCAUCCCUGCAUUCCUCCAUCGCAGCAUCCCUGCAUGCCUCCGUUCUCUGCAUCCCUCCACCCCAGUAUCCCUGCACCUCUUCAUCCCUCCAUUCCUGCAUCCCUCUAUUUUUCCAUCCCUCCAUUCCUGUAUCCCUGUGCCCUCCAUCCUCCAUCCCAGCAUCCCUCCAUCCCUGCUCCCCACUCUCACUUCCCUUCCCUUCACAGACAGGCUUUUCCUGCCAUCCUCAGACCCCACCCAGGGUUACCUGAUGCCUUUCCAGCUGCACACGGGGACUGACUCACCUCUCUCUUUCUCAGUCCCAAAGUCCCGAAAGAGAGCAUCUGAUGUGGUCAGCUUGUGACAAGGCGUCCACCUUCUGUCCAUGACAUGGAGGCCAGGGGAAGGUCUCACUGCCCAGCACCCCACCCUGUGCUCCCAGGCCUUUUGAAUGUUCCUCCUGCUCAGCCCAGUGACUGCGGGCUGUGGCUCCUCCUCCAGCCUCCCCUCGAGGUCCUGGUCUUACUUAGGAGGCCCCGGGUGUAGAUGCCUUCCCACCCACCAGGCAUUGCCCCUUUUCCUGGCUUCACAGACUCGGGAAUAAAGUUUCCUUCUGUUUCCCCUCUUGCAGAAGGAGAUCCGGUUGGCAGCUAAACCGCGCUGGGAACAGGGGCCUGAGUCCUGGACUAGGGCUCUUUCCCCGGGGCUGCUGCAGAUGGGGAGGAGCCUACACCCGCCUCCCGAGUGCUAAUCAGACCUGACAGGCUGGAGAAUGGCCAGUCAGCCUGAGGCCACCGCGGGACACCACCUAGGCCCAGCUUCUCCCCCCACCAGAGGGCGCCAGAGCCCGCCAAGCCUCGUAGGAGAUGGCAACAGGGCCUGCUGCUGCCACCUAGCGGCCAAUUCCGGGAAUGAAUCUCGGCACGCUCAUUACCCAGCGACUCUGCCCAUCUUGACCCUUUAUGUGAAGCAGAACAGCCGCUUCCGCAGUGAGCUGUCAGAAGGCGUCGUGCCUGUCUUGCUAGUGGGGAAACUGAGGCUCAGAGAGGCAGAAGACUUGCCCAAGAUCACACCACCGGGACCCAGGAUUCAAGCGCAGGCCUGCCCAGGCUCUCUGUGGCCUCCUGGCUGCGAGGAGGCAGCCAGGGACCAGGUGCCACCCUUCUGAGACACCUGAGAUCCCAGGCCCGAGAGGAUGAAGGCGGGAUUACCUGGAGCGUGUCUGAAUGCUGGAGGAAGAAGGGCAGCUGGGAGAUGAAGCUGUCAGGAUGGGCCGCAUCCCAUUUCCUGCCUCGUUUCAGUUCAACUUUCCAACAGACCUCCCUGGCUCGUCUUGCUCUUCUCUAAUGGACAAACAAACAGGCUCAGAGAGGUGGUGUGACUUGCCCAAGGUCACUCAGCUUGGAUGCUAUGGAACAGGGACGUCCACUGUCCCAGUCUGUUUAUGGGAAGCCGCUCUGCAACUGUCCUGACCCACCACAUGCCCCACCGCUGUUUCUCUUGCCCUGACCCCUUGUUCCCUGGACCAGGGUGGCACAGCUCCAGGCUCUUGGGCCCUUCCCGAGGGCAGGCACCUGUGACUGUGUCCCCAAAGACCUGAGUGGCUGAGGGGGCCCCACAGAGCUUGGACUUCCUGGAGGACAAGGAGGGGUCUGCCAGCCACCCCCACCACGCCCGCCCCAGGGCUCCCCUGGAGCUUCCAUGCCAGCCGGACUCAGGUGGGUCUGGAGGAGCACCGUGCCUCCAAUCAGACCUUGAGAUGUGCCCCCUGCCCCCACUGUGCCCUCCCCUGCCCAGGAGUCUGGUUGCAAACCCUGAUUAAGGGGAUUUUAUCUCCACCAGAGGGCCAGUAGGUGGGAAGUAGCUUAAACAAUGCAGGUUUAUAAUCUCACAGUUCUGGAGGUCAAGAGUCUGAAAUGGGCCUCAUGGGGCUAAAACCAAGGUGUCUGCAGGGCUGUGUUCCUUCUGGAGGCUCCAGGGCAGGAAGGGGAGGAUCCACUUCUGUGCCUUUCCAGCUUCUAGAGGCUGCCUGCGUUCCUUGGCUCGUGGCCCCUUCCUCCACCUUCAAGCCAGCAGCGGAGGCCUGAGUCCUUCUCAUGCCAUCUCUCUGUUCUCUCUCCUGCCUCCUCCUCCACACUGAAGGACCCCUGUGAUCACACUGGCCCCCCCACCGGAUGACCCAGGAUAAUCCAUCUCCCUGUUUGAAGGUCGGCUGAUUAGCAACCUUCAUUCCAUCUGCCUCCUUCAUUCCCCCUGGCCAUGUAAUGGGAUUCACAGCUUCUGGGGAUUAGGACAUGGACAUCUUGUGGCGGGGGCAUAAUUCUGUCGACGACACCAAGAAACACUUGGAUGUUAAGGAUUCACCGAACACUGUUCAGGCUCCAGGUGCUGGGAGCAGCAGUGAACAAAGCCAACAGACACUGCCACCCUCAAGGAGUUCACGUUCAUGGGCGAGGGAACAGAUGAGAAACCCGGCAAUGAAAGCUCCACCAUCUCUUCCCCUAAAGGCAACCACCAUUCUGAUUUCUCUCACCAAAGACUGGAAAAAUAUCCCAAUACCUGGAUGUAUGCCUCACGUGUCCCGCUGGCCCCAGCACCCAGGUAUAGUUAGUUACUGCUGUGCCUGGCUUCACUCUCACUUUUUUUUUUUUUUUCUUUUUUUGAGACAUAGUCUCGCUCUGUAGCCCAGGCUGGAGUGCAGUGUGGCACAAUCUCAGCUCACUGCAACCUUCACCUCCCAGGUUCAAGCGAUUCUCCUGCCUCAGCCUCUCGAGUAGCUGCGACUACAGGUGCCCACCACCACACCUGGCUAAUUUUUGUAUUUUUAGUAGAGAUGGGGUUUCACCUUGUUGGCCAGGCUGGUCUCGAACUCCUGACCUCAAGUGAUCCACCUGCCUCAGCCUCCCAAGGUGCUGGGAUUGCAGGCCGGCCUUACCUGGUAUGGUUUUUAGGUUCAUGUUGAUGCCUGGAGUUUCAGUAAUUCCCUCCCAUUCGUUGCUGAGUAGCACUGCAACACAUGCAGGCAGCUAUUUGGGGAUCUUUUCACCUGUUGAUGGGUGUCUGGACUGUUUCCAGUUUUUGGCUGUUACAAAUGAAGCCUCUGUGAGCCACGUACAAGUUCUUCUGUGGAUGUUUUCAUUUAGGGAAAGGGGUAAAUAGGAGUGGAAGUGCUGGGUCACAGGGCAAAUGUCCAUUUGAGUUUAUUAGAAACAAUUCUCCAAAAUGAUUGGCAUUUUACCUUGUACUAGCAGAGUCUAGGAGUGUGGCUGCUCCCAGAUUCUCAUCAAACUACAGUGCUGACAUCUUUAGUUCUAGGCCUUCUAGUGUGGAUGCACUGGUAUCUUGUUAAAUGCUUUUAACUGUUUUGGUAGAGAUGGGGCCUUGCUGUAUUGCAUAGUCUGGUCUUGAACACCUGGCCUCAAGUGAUCUCCAGCCUCACCCUCCCGAAGUGCUGGGAUUACAGGUGUGAGCCACUGCUCUGGGCCUCAUUCAGUGUUUUGCUUCUCCCUGACAACUAAUGGAGUUAAGCUCGUUUUCAUGUUUAUUGGCCAUUAAGUCAUCUUGCUUUUGGAAGUGCCAAUUGUUAACUGGCUUGUCCUCUUCUUUUUGCCUUACACAGUUAAUACAUGCUGGAGAUUACAUGUACUGCAAAGAUUUUCUCCUAGCCGGUGACUUGUCUUUUUCGUUUUUGUUUCUGUUUUUUUUUUUUUCUUUUUUUUUCUUUUCUUUUUUUCUGAGAUGGAGUCUCCUCGCUCUAUCGCCCAGGCUGGAGUGCAGUGGCAUGAUCUCAGCUCACUGAAACCACUGCCUCCCGGGUUCACGUGAUUGUCCUGUCUCAGCCUCCCGAGUAGCUGGGAUUACAGGCAUGCGCCACCAAGCACAGCUAAUUUUUGUAUUUUUAGUAGAGAUGGGGUUUUGCCAUGUUGGCCAGGCUGGUCUUAAACUCCUGACCUCAGGUGAUCCGCCCACCUCGGUCUCCCAAAGUGCUGGGAUUACAGGCGUGAGCCACCGCGCCUGCCCAGCUUAUCUAUUCAUUGGAGGAUCUGAGUGACAUGAGAAACUUAGGUUUUCUUUUUUUGAGACAGAGUCUUACUCUGUCGCCCAGGCUGGAGUGCAGUGGCAUGAUCUCGGCUCACCACAACCUCUGCCUCCUGGGUUCAAGCCAUUCUCCUGCCUCAGCCUCUGGAGUAGCUGGGAUUAUAGGCACCUGUCAUCACACCUGGCUAUCCACUUAGGUUUUCAAAGGGCCCCUUGGUCUUGGGGUGGAGAGUGAAGGGAAGCAGGGGGAAGAAGUUUAGGUCUUGCAAUCAUCCAGGUGAGACAUGAUAUUGUCUUUGAUCAGUGGCAGGGGUGGAGGUCGGGAGAAGCGGCCAGAGAGCAGAUCUAUUUUGCGGGUGGGGCUGACGGUAUUUGCUGGUGGACUGCCCUGGAACCAGAGGGAAGUACAGAGUCAGGUUGACUACAAGGUGUUUGGCUUAAGUUCGUAGAAGAAAGGAGUUGCCAUUUGCUGGCAUGAGGAAAAUGAAGAAGCAGAUUUUGGGAGGAAAAUGAAGGGUUCGGCUUCUGACAUGCUGAACUCGAGGUGCUGUUUAAGUGGAUGUGGAUUUCACAGUUGUACUGAUGAAGCUGGAAUUCGUUCAAGUAUCAAAGGAGUGUCAUCUAAAUAUAGAUAUUGAAGGUAAUCCUCAGUCAGAUGAGGUUACUGAGAGGGUGUGAGGAGGCAGGAGCGGGGUGAGGCUGGGAGGGGCAGCUGGGGGGAGGGGAGAGAAGCCCAGCGACGUCCUCGGUGUCUGUGAAGAUGGCACUUCCGGCGGAGGGAGAGAUCCCCCGCACCCUGCCUGAGACAGGCUGAGGAACGACCCUACACAGCAACUCAGGGCACCCCAAAUCGAACACGCAACCAUUAAAGAGGGAGCGCCUCUAAGAAGCCGAAAGGGGGCACCACCAGGCUCCAGAGGGGAAAACAGGGCGCAUUUUCUAACAUGUCAGCACCCCCAGACCACCCAGGCCCCCGUCAGAAAAAUACUGGCUCCAUGAUCAGCUUUGAAACAACUUUAUUAGAAGGCUGCUUUAAAUGACAACUUCUAACGUCCAAUUCUUUCUUAAUUUGCUUUUUGACGACUCCAGUUAUAUGUUCAUAUAUAACAAUUUUUGCAUUGAUCUUUGCAUCCUAUUGAAGAUUUCCUCAUCAGGUCAUUCUGGUGGAAUGGAAGUGCAACCGUGAGGUCGCCAGUUGGCCGGCAUUGUUAAGCAAGGGCAGCAGAAGGCUGGGAGGGACGGAGCCAGUCCCCCACCCUCUCCUCCAGCCCCCGCCCACCACAAAUUCACAGUGAGAGGCACCUCACUGCCUUGACAUUCAGAAAAGAGUGAAAUAAAGAAACCCUCGCAGCGCAGGAAAUAACUGGAUUCCACCUUCAAGGUUAUUGAGGUUCCUCCCUCUCUCUCCACGCCCCCAGUCAAACCCUGAAAUCCUAAGGCUGGGGGCAAGCCCUUCCCCAACCUGCCAAAGGAAAGGAGCCAGGGCUGCUGCCUUCUGGCCGCUUUUCUGCCUCCAGUCCCAAAAGGAAUUUCUCUGGACAGAUGUGACUGCAGCGGCCCAAGGCCCCCCUUCUCCUCCUCCUCCCAUCCCACUGGGCGGGCUUGGGAAGGUACAAUCAACCAUGAACAUAAAUAUGAAUAAAAAAUGAACUUGAAAAUGACAAGCUAUUAAUUAAACAAAUCUAUAAAAAUAGUUAGGACAUAACUCUGUUCAAAUAAAUACAAAAUAAAUAGGUUCCAAGCAGUGACACAAGUGGAAUGUGGGGCUGGUCCCGCUGCGCCCCUGCUGGGGUUGGACAGGAACCCCCAGGGCGUCAGAACAGACUCUGAGCAGUCAGCCAAGCUCCUGCUCCCUCGUCUUCCUCUGGAAGCACAGAAGUCGCUCAUUUGUCCGGCUUGUCCUUCUGGACAAAACCCUUUUCCCAACAGUCCAUAAUUAAGGCCUCCAACACCUUUUCCUUCCCUCCCCAGAACACACAAACGCUCUGCCCUUCGCCCUCAAACAUGGUGCUCCACUGCCCUCAUGCCACAGUGGGGACAGUGAGUUUGGUUCUGAGGUGGGGCCCAUCCUGA
RNAcentral lists this long non-coding RNA (10099 nucleotides) under Homo sapiens (human). RNAcentral's name for it is "non-protein coding SLC25A25-AS1:20". The record is from RNAcentral. Lineage: Eukaryota; Metazoa; Chordata; Mammalia; Primates; Hominidae.